This 502-nucleotide ribosomal RNA is filed under the name uncultured bacterium. RNAcentral's name for it is "partial 16S ribosomal RNA". It matches the Rfam family "Bacterial small subunit ribosomal RNA", at positions 30 to 523 of the family's 1533-position model. The record is from RNAcentral.
AUUGAACGCUGGCGGCAUGCCUUACACAUGCAAGUCGAACGGCAGCGGGGGUGCUUGCACCUGCCGGCGAGUGGCGAACGGGUGAGUAAUGCAUCGGAACGUACCCAGUCGUGGGGGAUAACGCAGCGAAAGCUGUGCUAAUACCGCAUACGUCCUGAGGGAGAAAGCAGGGGAUCUUCGGACCUUGUGCGAUUGGAGCGGCCGAUGUCAGAUUAGCUAGUUGGUGAGGUAAAAGCUCACCAAGGCGACGAUCUGUAGCUGGUCUGAGAGGAGGAUCAGCCACACUGGAACUGAGACACGGUCCAGACUCCCACGGGAGGCAGCAGUGGGGAAUUUUGGACAAUGGGGGCAACCCUGAUCCAGCCAUGCCGCGUGAGUGAAGAAGGCCUUCGGGUUGUAAAGCUCUUUCGGCCGGGAAGAAAUCGUGCAGGCUAAUACCCUGUAUGGAUGACGGUACCGGAAUAAGAAGCACCGGCUAACUACGUGCCAGCCGCCGCGGUAA